UCUCCUGUAGCUCAUGUGGUAGAGCGUCCGACCGGUGUACGGAAGGUCAUAGGUUCGACUCCUGUUGGGGGAA
This is a non-coding RNA of Desmophyllum pertusum, 73 nucleotides long. The record is from the annotation of a GenBank genome assembly. NCBI's taxonomy places the organism in Eukaryota, Metazoa, Cnidaria, Anthozoa, Scleractinia, Caryophylliidae.